Molecule: ribosomal RNA, 392 nt
Filed under: uncultured bacterium
Lineage: Bacteria
Description: partial 16S ribosomal RNA
Rfam family: Bacterial small subunit ribosomal RNA
Source: RNAcentral
AUACGGAGGAUCCGAGCGUUAUCCGGAUUUAUUGGGUUUAAAGGGUGCGCAGGCGGCCAUUUAAGUCAGCGGUUAAAUCGUGGGGCUCAACCCCAUUCUGCCGUUGAUACUGGGUGGCUUGAUUGCGGUCGAGGUUGGCGGAAUUCGUUGUGUAGCGGUGAAAUGCAUAGAUAUGACGAAGAACACCGAUUGCGUAGGCAGCUGACCAGACCGCAAAUGACGCUCAUGCACGAGAGUGCGGGGAUCGAACAGGAUUAGAUACCCUGGUAGUCCACACAGUAAACGAUGAAUACUUGUUUUCGGCGAUAUAAUGUCGGAGGCAAAGCGAAAGCGAUAAGUAUUCCACCUGGGGAGUACGCCGGCAACGGUGAAACUCAAAGGAAUUGACGGGG